Molecule: ribosomal RNA, 497 nt
Filed under: uncultured bacterium
Lineage: Bacteria
Description: partial 16S ribosomal RNA
Rfam family: Bacterial small subunit ribosomal RNA
Source: RNAcentral
GAUGAACGCUGGCGGCGUGCCUAAUACAUGCAAGUCGAGCGAACAGACGAGGAGCUUGCCCCUCUGACGUUAGCGGCGGAAGGGUGAGUAACACGUGGAUAACCUAGCUAUAAGACUGGGAUAAAUUCGGGAAACCGGAGCGAAUACCGGAUAAUAUAUUGAACCGCAUGGUUCAAUAGUGAAAGACGGUUUUGCUGUCACUUAUAGAUGGAUCCGCGGCGCAUUAGCUAGUUGGUAAGGUAACGGCUUACCAAGGCAACGAUGCGUAGCCGACCUGAGAGGGUGACCGGCCACACUGGAACUGAGACACGGCCCAGACUCCUACGGGAGGCAGCAGUAGGGAAUCUUCCGCAAUGGGCGAAAGCCUGACGGAGCAACGCCGCGUGCGUGAUGAAGGUCUUCGGAUCGUAAAACUCUGUUAUUAGGGAAGAAAAAAUGUGUAAGUAACUAUGCACGUCUUGACGGUACCUAAUCAGAAAGCAACGGCUAACUACGUG